CAACCUGUGUUCCCUCUUUUAGAGGGCAAAGGGAAUUUUCUGCCGUGGAAAACCCUCAAACCUUGUGACAGAUGUCCAGUAAGAAAUCAGUGUCCCAAAGACAGGGGAAAAAAAAAGGCAAAUUUAAUGAUUCUGUGGUUUGCCAAACACCUUACAUAAAUCAGUGAAUAAACAUGAAAUGUGCACUACUUUAAAAAGAUAAGUACUAAUUUUUUUCAUGAUUUAAUAACUAAAUGGAUCUUUGAGCAUGUGUUACCUUUUUUUUAUGAGCUUUUAGAGCUUCCAACCUCACCAGGGUGCAGCAACCAGCAGCUCAAAGCCAGCGGGACCAUUAAAGACCUAAAAAUCAGAACUCCCAAUAUCAAAUUUGAACCCAGUAAAAAAAGCACUGUGCCAGAACAGAUCCAUAAAGCACAUUUCAACAACAAGUUACAGCUGCUGCCCCGUAUUUAUAGCUUUGGGACAAAAAAAAAAAAAAAAAUAGAAAGCAAAACACAACAGACUGGAAAGAGUGGAAAGGAUUGGAAACAGCAAAUUUGUCAAUGUUUUUCCUCACUGCCGAGUCGCUGCUGCUUUAGAUUAGCCCUGUCCCCUGCAAUUUGACAGUAGCGCCGUGAACCUGCAGCGUGAGGAUCCCGGGCUAAGAUAGGGAGAAAGGAGGAGGAAUUCAGGGAAUGUUUUCCCUCGGAGCAAGCGGGGAAGCGCAGCCGCUGGGACCCGGGCUGCGGUGACAGCGCUAACACUUCCCAGAGCCGGGGACCCCGCCGCUGGAAUGGCAUUGCCCACCCUGAAAGUGAGAAGGGGUUUCCAAGGAAAAUUUCCACCUCCUGAGCAGAACGAGGAAGGAGCUCACUGUGGCCACACAAGAUCUGAAACCAAGGGGGUGUUUUGGGUCCUUCCUGGUGAGGAUCUUCACCUUUUUCAGAUGUCAAGAAGCCACCAAGGUGUCUUCCAAAGCAACGUAUCAGGUGUGCAGGUCACACCCCACCACGUGCUCAGGACAGCCACUCCCUGUCACCUGAGUCAGCAGCACUGUCACAGCAGCUGAGUUCUGAAGGGAUUUUGGUGCUUCCUGAUGCUCCCUUGGGCUCUGAGGGAACUCAGCCUUGCUUAGAUCAUUGUCCAGAGCCUUGAGCUGCUUGCAGCAGUUUCUCCUCCUCUAAGAAGUGGGACAGAUGUGGGAUGGGACCCC
RNAcentral lists this long non-coding RNA (1192 nucleotides) under Parus major (Great Tit). RNAcentral's name for it is "lncRNA (ENSPMJG00000013921.1)". The record is from RNAcentral. Lineage: Eukaryota; Metazoa; Chordata; Aves; Passeriformes; Paridae.